GGCUUGUGGCUCAGAGGUAGAGCACUCACCUAGGAUGCUUGAGGCACUGGGUUCGAUUCUCAGCACCA
RNAcentral lists this transfer RNA (68 nucleotides) under Marmota monax (woodchuck). RNAcentral describes it as "tRNA.Pro". The record is from RNAcentral. Lineage: Eukaryota; Metazoa; Chordata; Mammalia; Rodentia; Sciuridae.